AUGUAUAAGGGUUUUGAUUCUUGAAAGUCAAUAUUGUUGGCUUGUCUUCUUUCUUACAAAUUCUUGAUCUUUAUUUGUGUUUAAGAUUAAGAUCUGAAGGAAAGUAACUUUGAAGAUUAAGAUUUAAAAACCAUUUAUAGUUGUAGAACAUAUCAAGAACAAGAAAACACCAAAAAGGGUAGGUUUUAAUGCUUAAUUUUCAGCUGUUUAUAUUUUCAUGAUCCAUAAAAGUGUAUAAAAGGCAUAUCUUGAAAAUUAAACUAGUUCUAGAUUUAGUCAUACAUGUUAACAUACAACAUACAUACUCAAAGUCACAUAGCAAUAUUAUGUUUUAUCAUGUAUCAAUUUCAUGAUAAGGAUCCCACUUUAAAUCAUUUUUGAC
RNAcentral lists this long non-coding RNA (382 nucleotides) under Helianthus annuus (common sunflower). Its description in RNAcentral is "sRNA HanXRQr2_Chr07g0314351". Lineage: Eukaryota; Viridiplantae; Streptophyta; Magnoliopsida; Asterales; Asteraceae. The record is from RNAcentral.